This 913-nucleotide ribosomal RNA is filed under the name Metabacillus indicus. RNAcentral describes it as "bacterial SSU rRNA". It matches the Rfam family "Bacterial small subunit ribosomal RNA", at positions 19 to 924 of the family's 1533-position model. The record is from RNAcentral. Lineage: Bacteria; Bacillati; Bacillota; Bacilli; Caryophanales; Bacillaceae.
UCUGCUCAGGACGAACGCGGUGCGGCCCUGCAUAAUACAUGCAAGUCGAGCGGACCUCUUCGGAGGUCAGCGGCGGACGGGUGAGUAACACGUGGGCAACCUGCCUGUAAGACUGGGAUAACUCCGGGAAACCGGAGCUAAUACCGGAUACUAUGUCAAACCGCAUGGUUUGACAUUCAAAGACGGUUUCGGCUGUCACUUACAGAUGGGCCCGCGGCGCAUUAGCUAGUUGGUGAGGUAAUGGCUCACCAAGGCGACGAUGCGUAGCCGACCUGAGAGGGUGAUCGGCCACACUGGGACUGAGACACGGCCCAGACUCCUACGGGAGGCAGCAGUAGGGAAUCUUCCGCAAUGGACGAAAGUCUGACGGAGCAACGCCGCGUGAGUGAUGAAGGUUUUCGGAUCGUAAAACUCUGUUGUCAGGGAAGAACAAGUGCCGGAGUAACUGCCGGCGCCUUGACGGUACCUGACCAGAAAGCCACGGCUAACUACGUGCCAGCAGCCGCGGUAAUACGUAGGUGGCAAGCGUUGUCCGGAAUUAUUGGGCGUAAAGCGCGCGCAGGCGGUUUCUUAAGUCUGAUGUGAAAGCCCCCGGCUCAACCGGGGAGGGUCAUUGGAAACUGGGAAACUUGAGUGCAGAAGAGGAGAGUGGAAUUCCACGUGUAGCGGUGAAAUGCGUAGAGAUGUGGAGGAACACCAGUGGCGAAGGCGACUCUCUGGUCUGUAACUGACGCUGAGGCGCGAAAGCGUGGGGAGCGAACAGGAUUAGAUACCCUGGUAGUCCACGCCGUAAACGAUGAGUGCUAAGUGUUAGAGGGUUUCCGCCCUUUAGUGCUGCAGCUAACGCAUUAAGCACUCCGCCUGGGGAGUACCGUCACAACACUGAAACUCAGAAGAUAUUGUUUAGACGGAA